UACGUAGGUGGCAAGCGUUGUCCGGAUUUACUGGGCGUAAAGAGCGCGCAGGCGGUCGUUCAAGUCGCGUGUGAAAGCCCCCGGCUCAACUGGGGAGGGUCACGCGAUACUGAUCGACUCGAAGGCAGGAGAGGGUAGUGGAAUUCCCGGUGUAGUGGUGAAAUGCGUAGAUAUCGGGAGGAACACCAGUGGCGAAGGCGGCUCACUGGCCCGUAACUGACGCUGAGGUGCGAAAGCGUGGGGAGCAAACAGG
Molecule: ribosomal RNA, 253 nt
Filed under: uncultured bacterium
Lineage: Bacteria
Description: partial 16S ribosomal RNA
Rfam family: Bacterial small subunit ribosomal RNA
Source: RNAcentral